GCCUGGAUGGCUCAGUCUGUUGAGCGUCUGACUUCAGCUCAGGUCAGGAUCUGGCAGUUUGCGAGUUCGAGCCCUGUGUCAGGCU
RNAcentral lists this transfer RNA (85 nucleotides) under Felis catus (domestic cat). It matches the Rfam family "tRNA". Rfam says of the family: Transfer RNA (tRNA) molecules are approximately 80 nucleotides in length. Their secondary structure includes four short double-helical elements and three loops (D, anti-codon, and T loops). Lineage: Eukaryota; Metazoa; Chordata; Mammalia; Carnivora; Felidae. The record is from Rfam by way of RNAcentral.